CCUACGGGAGGCAGCAGUGAGGAAUAUUGGUCAAUGGGCGCGAGCCUGAACCAGCCAAGUCGCGUGAGGGAUGACGGCCCUACGGGUUGUAAACCUCUUUUGCCGGGGAGCAACGGGCGCCACGUGUGGCGCCACUGAGAGUACCCGGAGAAAAAGCAUCGGCCAACUCCGUGGCAGCAGCCGCGGUAAUACGGAGGAUGCGAGCGUUAUCCGGAUUUAUUGGGUUUAAAGGGUGCGUAGGCGGACUGGAAAGUCAGCGGUAAAAUCGAGAGGCUCAACCUCUUUCCGCCGUUGAAACUGUCGGUCGUGAGUGGGCGAGAAGUAUGCGGAAUGCGUGGUGUAGCGGUGAAAUGCAUAGAUAUCACGCAGAACUCCGAUUGCGAAGGCAGCAUACCGGCGCCCGACUGACGCUGAGGCACGAAAGCGUGGGUAUCGAACAGGAUUAGAUACCCCUGUAGUC
This 460-nucleotide ribosomal RNA is filed under the name uncultured bacterium. Its description in RNAcentral is "partial 16S ribosomal RNA". It matches the Rfam family "Bacterial small subunit ribosomal RNA", at positions 338 to 795 of the family's 1533-position model. The record is from RNAcentral.